UAGGGAAUUUUCCGCAAUGGGCGAAAGCCUGACGGAGCAACGCCGCGUGAGCGAGGACGGCCUUCGGGUUGUAAAGCUCUGUUCUUGAGGAAGAAUCCCGCAGAUGUGAACAGCAUCUGUGGUUGACGGUACUCAAGGAGAAAGCCCCGGCUAACUACGUGCCAGCAGCCGCGGUAAUACGUAGGGGGCGAGCGUUAUCCGGAAUUAUUGGGCGUAAAGCGCGCGCAGGCGGCCGGUUAAGUCAGGUGUGAAAGGCUGCGGCUCAACCGCAGAGCGGCAUCUGAAACUGGUCGGCUUGAGUGCAGGAGAGGGGAGCGGAAUUCCCGGUGUAGUGGUGGAAUGCGUAGAGAUCGGGAGGAACACCAGUGGCGAAGGCGGCUCUCUGGCCUGUAACUGACGCUGAGGCGCGAAAGCGUGGGGAGCAAA
Molecule: ribosomal RNA, 426 nt
Filed under: uncultured bacterium
Lineage: Bacteria
Description: bacterial SSU rRNA
Rfam family: Bacterial small subunit ribosomal RNA
Source: RNAcentral